GCCCCGCUAGCUCAAUCGGAUAGAGCGUCAGACUUUUACGAUUGUCCACCGCAAGUGUUCAUCAUAAAAAUUCAUCUGAAGGCUGCGAGUUCGACCCUCGCGCGGGGCU
This is a transfer RNA of Stereum hirsutum FP-91666 SS1, 109 nucleotides long. It matches the Rfam family "tRNA". Rfam says of the family: Transfer RNA (tRNA) molecules are approximately 80 nucleotides in length. The record is from Rfam. NCBI's taxonomy places the organism in Eukaryota, Fungi, Basidiomycota, Agaricomycetes, Russulales, Stereaceae.